GUACCGGGCGUUGGUUGUCCCGGGGAAAGGAGGUAGGUGGAUCCCUUAGGCAAAUCCGGGGGGUCAUACACCGAGCACCGAGACGAGGUCUUCGGACCGAAGUCACUGAGUCCACGCUUCCAGGAAAAGCCUCUAAGCUUCAGCUCACGAAGACCGUACCGCAAACCGACACAGGUAGGCAGGGUGAGAAUCCCAAGGCGCUUGAGAGAACUCGGGUGAAGGAACUAGGCAACAUAGCACCGUAACUUCGGGAGAAGGUGCACCCAAGAGUGUGGCUACAUGCGUAGCUGAGCACUCCUGGGUCGCAGGGACCAGGCCGCUGCGACUGUUUAUCAAAAACACAGCACUCUGCAAACACGAAAGUGGACGUAUAGGGUGUGACGCCUGCCCGGUGCCGGAAGGUUAAUUGAUGGGGUCAGCGCAAGCGAAGCUCUUGAUCGAAGCCCCGGUAAACGGCGGCCGUAACAAUAACGGUCCUAAGGUAGCGAAAUUCCUUGUCGGGUAAGUUCCGACCUGCACGAAUGGCGUAACGACAGCGGCGCUGUCUCCACCCGAGACUCAGUGAAAUUGAAAUCGCUGUGAAGAUGCAGCGUUCCCGCGGCAAGACGGAAAGACCCCGUGAACCUUUACUAUAGCUUUACAUUGAACGUUGAGUUCGUCUGUGUAGGAUAGGUGGGAGCCUUUGAAGUUUGGGCGCUAGCUCAGAUGGAGGCAACCUUGAAAUACCACCCUGAUGUGCUUGACGUUCUAACCUCGGCCCGUUAUCCGGGUCAGGGACCAUGUAUGGUGGGUAGUUUGACUGGGGCGGUCUCCUCCCAAAGAGUAACGGAGGAGCUCGAAGGUACGCUCAGCGCGGUCGGACAUCGCGCACUGUGUGCAAAGGCAUAAGCGUGCUUGACUGCAAGAUCGACGGAUCAAGCAGGUAGGAAACUAGGACUUAGUGAUCCGGUGGUUCUGUAUGGAAGGGCCAUCGCUCAACGGAUAAAAGGUACUCCGGGGAUAACAGGCUGAUACCGCCCAAGAGUUCAUAUCGACGGCGGUGUUUGGCACCUCGAUGUCGGCUCAUCGCAUCCUGGGGCUGUAGUCGGUCCCAAGGGUAUGGCUGUUCGCCAUUUAAAGCGGUACGCGAGCUGGGUUCAGAACGUCGUGAGACAGUUCGGUCCCUAUCUGUCGUGGGCGUUGGAGGUUUGAGAGGGGCUGCUCCUAGUACGAGAGGACCGGAGUGGACGUAUCUCUGGUGUUCCGGUUGUCACGCCAGUGGCACUGCCGGGUAGCUAUAUACGGAAGAGAUAACCGCUGAAAGCAUCUAAGCGGGAAACUCGCCUCAAGAUGAGACCUCCCGGGGCACAAGCCCCCUAAAGGAACGAUGAAGACUACGUCGUUGAUAGGCUGGGUGUGUACAACCGCAAGGUUUAGCUAACCAGUACUAAUGAUCCGUGUGGCUUGAUC
This 1449-nucleotide ribosomal RNA is filed under the name metagenome. RNAcentral's name for it is "bacterial LSU rRNA". It matches the Rfam family "Bacterial large subunit ribosomal RNA", at positions 1488 to 2925 of the family's 2925-position model. The record is from RNAcentral.